UCCCUGGUGGUCCAGUGGUCUAAGACUCCACAUUCCCAAUGCAGGCGGCCCAGGUUCGAUCCCUGGUCAGGGAA
This 74-nucleotide transfer RNA is filed under the name Bos taurus (domestic cattle). It matches the Rfam family "tRNA". From Rfam's summary of the family: Transfer RNA (tRNA) molecules are approximately 80 nucleotides in length. Their secondary structure includes four short double-helical elements and three loops (D, anti-codon, and T loops). Further hydrogen bonds mediate the characteristic L-shaped molecular structure. tRNAs have two regions of fundamental functional importance: the anti-codon, which is responsible for specific mRNA codon recognition, and the 3' end, to which the tRNAs corresponding amino acid is attached (by aminoacyl-tRNA synthetases). tRNAs cope with the degeneracy of the genetic code in two manners: having more than one tRNA (with a specific anti-codon) for a particular amino acid; and 'wobble' base-pairing, i.e. permitting non-standard base-pairing at the 3rd anti-codon position. The record is from Rfam by way of RNAcentral. Lineage: Eukaryota; Metazoa; Chordata; Mammalia; Artiodactyla; Bovidae. RNAcentral also lists the same sequence under 2 other names.